UACAAUAUGCGGCUUGAAGGACGGUCGGCUAGUCUCCCGGAAGGGAGGUGAUGCCUGUGGAGGUUAAAGAUGUUCUCACCUUAAUGCUCAUGUUUGGCAUGUUCAUUUUGGCGCUUCUUACCUACAUGAAAAAGAAAUAGACCGCCCUCCCUAAGGUAACGGUCUAUUUCGACCACCACUUAGCGGCCGACUGCUCUUUAUGCAGUUAUUGUGCUUAGGAGCCGUGUUCGCGCACGGCUC
Molecule: small RNA, 240 nt
Organism: Paenibacillus yonginensis
Lineage: Bacteria; Bacillati; Bacillota; Bacilli; Caryophanales; Paenibacillaceae
Rfam family: BsrG
About the family: bsrE, bsrG and bsrH pair through intermolecular interactions with antisense sRNAs. SR4 interaction with the 3'UTR of bsrG RNA promotes bsrG degradation and inhibits its translation. SR5 also overlaps bsrG from nucleotide 163 to 52 (Rfam overlap check).
Source: Rfam